This 675-nucleotide ribosomal RNA is filed under the name Salmonella enterica subsp. enterica serovar Braenderup. RNAcentral's name for it is "partial 23S ribosomal RNA". It matches the Rfam family "Bacterial large subunit ribosomal RNA", at positions 2261 to 2925 of the family's 2925-position model. Lineage: Bacteria; Pseudomonadati; Pseudomonadota; Gammaproteobacteria; Enterobacterales; Enterobacteriaceae. The record is from RNAcentral. RNAcentral also lists the same sequence under 1 other name.
GUGGGUAGUUUGACUGGGGCGGUCUCCUCCUAAAGAGUAACGGAGGAGCACGAAGGUUGGCUAAUCCUGGUCGGACAUCAGGAGGUUAGUGCAAUGGCAUAAGCCAGCUUGACUGCGAGCGUGACGGCGCGAGCAGGUGCGAAAGCAGGUCAUAGUGAUCCGGUGGUUCUGAAUGGAAGGGCCAUCGCUCAACGGAUAAAAGGUACUCCGGGGAUAACAGGCUGAUACCGCCCAAGAGUUCAUAUCGACGGCGGUGUUUGGCACCUCGAUGUCGGCUCAUCACAUCCUGGGGCUGAAGUAGGUCCCAAGGGUAUGGCUGUUCGCCAUUUAAAGUGGUACGCGAGCUGGGUUUAGAACGUCGUGAGACAGUUCGGUCCCUAUCUGCCGUGGGCGCUGGAGAACUGAGGGGGGCUGCUCCUAGUACGAGAGGACCGGAGUGGACGCAUCACUGGUGUUCGGGUUGUCAUGCCAAUGGCACUGCCCGGUAGCUAAAUGCGGAAGAGAUAAGUGCUGAAAGCAUCUAAGCACGAAACUUGCCCCGAGAUGAGUUCUCCCUGAGACUUUAGGUCUCCUGAAGGAACGUUGAAGACGACGACGUUGAUAGGCCGGGUGUGUAAGCGCAGCGAUGCGUUGAGCUAACCGGUACUAAUGAACCGUGAGGCUUAACCUUACAAC